This is a non-coding RNA of Pomacea canaliculata, 72 nucleotides long. The record is from the annotation of a RefSeq genome assembly. Lineage: Eukaryota; Metazoa; Mollusca; Gastropoda; Architaenioglossa; Ampullariidae.
GGGGCUAUGGUGUAGUGGUAGCACGCCCAACUUAAAAUUGGUUUGUCCUGGGUUCGAUCCCCAGUAGCUCCA